RNAcentral lists this long non-coding RNA (975 nucleotides) under Eptatretus burgeri (inshore hagfish). Its description in RNAcentral is "lncRNA (ENSEBUG00000017493.1)". Lineage: Eukaryota; Metazoa; Chordata; Myxini; Myxiniformes; Myxinidae. The record is from RNAcentral.
GGGGGGGGGGGGGGGGGGGGGUCAGGACUUUUCAACGCUCUGAGGGAUCUUCCAUGAGUUUCGAGUGUGUCCACAGUCCACAGACGGAGCAGCGGUUCUCCCACCAAAGGUCACGCACUCACACCGCGAAUAUCCAGCGAAGCCGCGGGCACACCUGCACCCCGAGAAGUGACCGAGUGAGGUUGACCGAUGCCCAACAAGACCGCCUCAACAAACUCGAUGAAUGGCGAGCACGGAACAGACGGGUCUACAAACGACCUCCGAUGGAGAAGCGAAGCCUCCACCAUCGAGGGUCUUGUAACACUCAGGCCAAGGAGCUCGGACUACCAGUGGGCCUCUUCUCGUCACCAGAGCGCGAGGAGGAGUUCUACCGGCGAAUCGAUCGUCUUCUCGCACGUUUCGAGGAACUUAUUGAGGAGGAUGAGGAAGUUGAUUUGGUGAUGGCACGCAGAGAGCUUCCCAUGUUGGAGAAGUUUCCACGAUUUGGUUUGCUGCUGGCACGACAGGCACAAAAGCAAAGGGGGGGGGGGGGGGGGGGGGGGGGGGGGGGGGGGGGGGGGGGGGGGGGGGGGGGGGGGGGGGGGGGGGGGGGGGGGGGGGGGGGGGGGGGGGGGGGGGGGGGGGGGAUUAACUUUCUUCUUUGGAGGCAAGAUUGGAAGAUAUUUUUAAACCAAGUAACUUCCAACAACAAUUGGAAAGAAACGAGAAGGGCACUCUUUAUGACGUCACCAGAUACGACUCCGCCCACAUCAUGAAACAGACUUUCACCAAGUUUGAUUUAAAUCCCUGAAGCCAGAUUGAAAAUAUUAAAUAAUUAUGGCUGCCAGACCAUGCGUCCAAUCAGGUUGAAAUUUAAAACAUAUAUUCCCGAUCGCUACCAGAUCAUAACUGUGACGUUUCACGUCGAUUGACGAAGCGGUUCAAGAGAAAGAAUUUUUAAAAUAUUUUCGUUCAACCCAACAUGGCUGCCACAUC